This is an RNA transcript of Sorghum bicolor (sorghum), 2390 nucleotides long. It is a transcript of the gene named glycine-rich RNA-binding protein 4, mitochondrial-like, with no coding region annotated. The record is from RefSeq and is a predicted model, not a curated record. Lineage: Eukaryota; Viridiplantae; Streptophyta; Magnoliopsida; Poales; Poaceae. The transcript is spliced from 2 exons.
GCCCAAACUCGUUCACCUUGGUCGGUGUGUUGCUUGCGGCAGCUGGUCUGGGUGAUGUUGUGCUUGCCGAGUGCAUUCAUGGGUGGGCUAUAAAGAGUCAGUUGGAAUCCAAUCAUUUUGUUGCAACCGCACUGGUGGAUGCAUAUGCAAAAUGUGGGCACCCCAUGAACGCAUUGGCAUUUUUCAGCGGUUUGAGGGAUCCUAAUGUAGUUUCCUGGAAUGCAAUGAUCUCCGGGUUAGUGCACAAUGUUUUGUUUGAGGAAGCAGUAUUGGCAUUCAAGAGGUUGUGUUGUUGUUUUGGGUCAGUUCCUAAUAAUGCUGUGACCAUGAUUAAUAUCGCUCAAGCGUAUGCUGGUUGUGGUGAACUUGAAAUGUGCAAGAGUGUACAUGCUUAUGCAGUUAAGAUGGGCUUUGAUUUGGAUGUCUCGGUGACAAACUCAAUACUUGGCAUGUACUUGAGUUUUGGGGAUAUUGAGAUUGGAAGAGAGAUUUUCAGGAAAAUUAUUCUUAGGAAUGUGGUUACUUGGACAAUGAUGAUGGGUUUCCUUCUUGAGCAGGCUCAUGCUGGUGAAGUUAUAAAUAUCUUUGUUCAGAUGAGGUCAAAUGGCAUAGUUCCUGACAGGAUAGCAAUGGUCAGUUUGGUGCAAGCUUGUGCACUUCUGGGUGAUGCAAGGAGAGGAAAAAUGGUUCAUAACCAAAUGAUCACACGUGGGUUUAGUAGUGAGCUUCCUGCAGUUAAUUCAUUAAUCACUAUGUAUUCCAAAUGCAAGGAUUUAAGUUCAGCUAGAGUGUUGUUUGAUGGCAUGAGGAACAAAAGCUUAGUUUCAUGGACUGCAAUGGUUUCAGGAUAUAUAGGAAGUGGAAGAGCCCUAGAGGGGAUGCAUCUAUUUGGUAAGAUGAGGCAUGAAGAUACUUUUGUGAUUGAUUCUGUGACAUUAGUCAGCUUAUUGACUGGAUGCUAUGAGACUGCUAAGUUUGUUCUAUGUGUUCAACUUCAUGGGUAUAGCUACAAGUCAGGUUUGUAUCUGUAUAGACCUGUCCCUAAUACCCUCAUGGCAGUUUAUGGUAAGUGUGGAUAUGCCAUUUUAGCUCAUAAAGUAUUUGAUGACAUGAUUUCUCGAGAUGUUGUCUCGUGGAAUACCCUGAUAUUAUCCUAUGGUAUAAAUGGCCAAGGAGAGCAAGCAGUAGCACUUUUUAAUAAAAUGGAGGAAUCUAGUGAAGAGCGAGACAGUGUAACAUACUUGAACACAAUGCUGGCAUGCAGCCAUUCUGGACAAGUUGAUGAUGGGUUGAUCAUAUUCAGGAGAAUGAUUAAUGAGAAGCACGUAAAUCCAUGCCAAGAACACAUUGGAUGCCUAGUAGAUAUGUUGGCAAGAGCUGGUCGCUUGGAUGAAGCAGCAGAAGUGGCUAGCUUGACUAGCAAUGAGGGAGCAAAUCCUUGGAAGGCUUUGAUGGGAGGAGGUCACCUGCAUAGUCACACAGAAUUAACUGAAGUUGCUGCUGAGAAGGUGCUGAACGCGGACUCAUUUGAUAAUGGCCAUGUGGUGUUACUUUCUAACGCUUGUGCAUCUGCUGGGAAGUAUAGUGAUGCUGAAUCUAUCCGAUCCUGUUAUUCGAAACAAACACAAAAGAAGAUUCUAGGGCUUAGUUCCAUUGAGGUUAUGCUAUCCAGCUCAAGAUAGCCACUAUACUUCUUGCAAUGGAAGGGAAAAGAUACAUGAGACAAUUACCAUACACUGUCUGUCUGUCUCAAAGUAUUGGAGAUCUGUUUUAGGCAUGAAAGAUGGAGUUUUACUUUGCAUACAGCCAAGUCCCAUGUAAUUAAAAGAGAAACAUCAAGAAUGAGGCUUCAAAUAGCACAUUAGAUGCAAUGGAAAAUUGCAUUGGUCUUUAUAUUGUGAUAGACUAAGAGUUUUUUUCAUCUUGAUUCUAGUAUGGUUGAAUCAGGAGACUUACGUCAUGUGAGUAUGGUGUUUAUCUGAUGCAAUUCUGACCCAAUAGAAAACUUGUUGACUACACCGUCAGUUCAAUUACAUCUGUUGUUUUGUGUUUCCUUAGUACUUUUGCCUUGGAGUAUUAACCAUCUCUGAUCUGUAUCAAUAUCCUCCUCACUAUAUCUACUCUUUGAAUACAAUCAUUUGUUGAUUGUGAACAUGAAGCCUAUGGUCCAUGCUUCUUUGCAAAGAGUUGGCGCAAAGCCUGAGAUAAUCUGAAGUACUUGACUUUUGAAAAAUAUAUUAUGGUGCAUCUCAUCCAAGUGACAAUGUAACAUUUUACUUGAAGUUAGAAUAAUGUAUGACAAAAACUCUGGAAGGUCAAGAGGCUUUGGAUUUGUUCAUUUCUCAAAUGAUCAUGAAGCUAAGUGUGCCAAGGAUGCUAUGGAUGGGAAG